RNAcentral lists this ribosomal RNA (109 nucleotides) under Salvator merianae (Argentine black and white tegu). The record is from RNAcentral. Lineage: Eukaryota; Metazoa; Chordata; Lepidosauria; Squamata; Teiidae.
GCGGAUGGCAAUAAGCCAACUAAGCCAUCUGAUCUCAGAAGCUAAGGAAGGUCAGAUAUGAAUCUUACUUGGAAGGGAGACCGACUAAGAAUACCAGAGGCUACUGGCU